UUGAACGCUGGCGGCAUGCCUUACACCUGCCAGUCGCACGGCAGCACGGGUGCUUGCACCUGGUGGCGAGUGGCGAACGGGUGAGUAAUACAUCGGAACAUGUCCUGUAGUGGGGGAUAGCCCGGCGAAAGCCGGAUUAAUACCGCAUACGAUCUACGGAUGAAAGCGGGGGACCUUCGGGCCUCGCGCUAUAGGGUUGGCCGAUGGCUGAUUAGCUAGUUGGUGGGGUAAAGGCCUACCAAGGCGACGAUCAGUAGCUGGUCUGAGAGGACGACCAGCCACACUGGGACUGAGACACGGCCCAGACUCCUACGGGAGGCAGCAGUGGGGAAUUUUGGACAAGGGGCGAAAGCCUGAUCCAGCAAUGCCGCGUGUGUGAAGAAGGCCUUCGGGGUGUAAAGCACUUUUGUCCGGAAAGAAAUCCUUGGCCCUAAGACGGUCGGGGGAUGACGGUACCGGAAGAAUAAGCACCGGCUAACUACGU
RNAcentral lists this ribosomal RNA (484 nucleotides) under uncultured bacterium. Its description in RNAcentral is "partial 16S ribosomal RNA". It matches the Rfam family "Bacterial small subunit ribosomal RNA", at positions 29 to 506 of the family's 1533-position model. The record is from RNAcentral.